GGGCUUGUACCGGUUUCGACGGGGACGAUGCAGCUUUAGAAGCUAUCCGAAAGACAGUAGCGUUAAACUUCAAACCUAAAUAUAAACGCUAACGAUAAUUUAGCAUACGCAGCCUAAGCGCUGCGAGUCAGCCUUAAGGCACUCACACUUUAAGAAUCUGGCUUCGACUAUGUGAGAAACGACGGAUCCAGUUCCUCCUGGCUCCGGGCGUAUCAGAGGAUACCGGUCGGUAAAAGACGUGCGCAUCUUUUAUCGGUGGGGAAGCUUCAAAGCGUACUAUGAUAGUAGAAGGAAAGGGAAUUUGUUUUCGGACAUGGGUUCGACUCCCAUCAGGUCCA
RNAcentral lists this transfer-messenger RNA (338 nucleotides) under Oribacterium sp. It matches the Rfam family "transfer-messenger RNA". Rfam says of the family: Bacterial tmRNA, also known as 10Sa RNA or SsrA, is named for its dual tRNA and mRNA-like properties. Its role is to liberate the mRNA from a stalled ribosome. To accomplish this part of the tmRNA is used as a reading frame that ends in a translation stop signal. Lineage: Bacteria; Bacillati; Bacillota; Clostridia; Lachnospirales; Lachnospiraceae. RNAcentral also lists the same sequence under 1 other name. The record is from RNAcentral.